Molecule: long non-coding RNA, 360 nt
Filed under: Musa acuminata (dwarf banana)
Lineage: Eukaryota; Viridiplantae; Streptophyta; Magnoliopsida; Zingiberales; Musaceae
Description: long non-coding RNA (MACU_LNC008225)
Source: RNAcentral
GAAGAGAGUGCUCGACCGGAACAACGUAAAACCAUAGAACCCAGUUUUCACCCUAGCCUAGGAAAGAAAGACAGAAAAACAGAAAGAAACACGACCUUAACAGAAAUAAACAUGACCGACCUUCAAAGACAGACAGUAGACCUUACUCCUUUUAGUAUAUAGUAUAAGUAAGAGCAACCAUUCUAUGACAUUUCUCCCCAGUUGACUUGAAUUUGUAGAUAGUAUAAGUAAGAGCAACCAUUCUAUGACAUUUCUCCCCAGCCCCGUUUACCUUAUUUUGUAGAUAGAAUCUUCAAUGAGUGGGAAAGGAGCAAACAACAGCAUCUUCUAAAUACAGGUUUGCGAAAGGAGCAAACUACC